Molecule: ribosomal RNA, 387 nt
Filed under: Citrobacter sp. FER50
Lineage: Bacteria; Pseudomonadati; Pseudomonadota; Gammaproteobacteria; Enterobacterales; Enterobacteriaceae
Description: bacterial SSU rRNA
Rfam family: Bacterial small subunit ribosomal RNA
Source: RNAcentral
UUACCUGGUCUUGACAUCCACGGAAUUUGGCAGAGAUGCCUUAGUGCCUUCGGGAACCGUGAGACAGGUGCUGCAUGGCUGUCGUCAGCUCGUGUUGUGAAAUGUUGGGUUAAGUCCCGCAACGAGCGCAACCCUUAUCCUUUGUUGCCAGCGGUCCGGCCGGGAACUCAAAGGAGACUGCCAGUGAUAAACUGGAGGAAGGUGGGGAUGACGUCAAGUCAUCAUGGCCCUUACGACCAGGGCUACACACGUGCUACAAUGGCAUAUACAAAGAGAAGCGACCUCGCGAGAGCAAGCGGACCUCAUAAAGUAUGUCGUAGUCCGGAUUGGAGUCUGCAACUCGACUCCAUGAAGUCGGAAUCGCUAGUAAUCGUGGAUUCAGAAUGG